AUCUUUAUGUGGUGUUUGCAGCCAAACAGCCUGACCCAGAAGCAGGAGACGGGGGAGGGGAAACGCCAGCCAGAUCGCCUCCCUCGCCUCCCCCAGCUCCCGCCCGCCCUGCAAACCAGGCACCCCUCGCAGGUGUGUCACCAGGAAAGUGGGCUCAGAGAGAUUAGCUGGAGGGGCCCUCCAGCCUGUGUCUACCCCCCCGGGGUGCAGCUGUUUUGUUUCCAGCAGCUCCUCGCUCUCAAGGUCGACAGCCACCUCCGAGGAAAUCUCCACUCAGAAGAGCUCAUUUGGCUAUAAUGAGGCUUCUUUCAGAAGCCGCUGACCCCAGAGAAAGCCCUGCACUCAAGCUGCCCCUUUCCCUUUGCUGGGUCUCAUCACCUCUCUCCUCUGCACCUCGAAGAGAAAAAAAAUCCAAUAAAAGAGAUUAAGACCAGACAUAUGGAAGAGCAAAGGGCUGAAGCCGUAUCUUGCCUCCUCUUCUUCAUUCCUAUAGAUGAGAACACGGGGACUCUGAGAGGGAUCAGAACAGGGCCCCAGUGCCUCAAGUCCUCUGCCUAGCUGCCCGAUGGCCCUGGCCACAGAGGGACUUCGCAGGCCAUGAAAGGAGCCCCUCCCGGGACCAGCCUCGGCUCAGCAACAAGUCUGACAUUUUCCCCAGAAGUGCCCCAAGGCCCCUUGGGAAGAAGCUACAAAGUCAAGAAUAAACCGUGAACUUGGGGAUUGCUCACACUCUUACUAUUUUCUUAACAAACCAACUGGAUCUUAUUAAGGGAGGCUUCUGAACAGGAGACUCCUGUCUAGAGAACCUUCCUGUCACCCGUUAAAUAUGCCUGAUUUCACACGCUGUCGUGUAGCUGUCCCUCCGGCUGGCUCACCACUGAUGAGGAGUAAAUGAUAUUGCAUCCUGGCCCCUUUCUUAGCACACAGGUAUUUUCUGCAGGAAAUACCAGGGAACCUGCUGUCGUUCGUCCAACAUUGGCAAUCUCGCUAUUUGGUAUCUUCAGCAGACUUUCAAUUUAUCUGAAGCACAGACCUGGUUGUUUCAGGCAAUGCCAUCUGUCUGAUGCAGGCACGACGUUUUGUCUCACCUGCGUCCUGCCCUGUCUCCAGUCCUCAGCUUCCCCAACCGCACCAUGAGAAUGGAUGAGAGUCUCCCAGGGCACAUCUAGGGCUCAGCUUUGCUGUUGUUCAGACUCGCUCUC
RNAcentral lists this long non-coding RNA (1202 nucleotides) under Mustela putorius furo (domestic ferret). RNAcentral describes it as "lncRNA (ENSMPUG00000025199.1)". The record is from RNAcentral. Lineage: Eukaryota; Metazoa; Chordata; Mammalia; Carnivora; Mustelidae.